RNAcentral lists this ribosomal RNA (253 nucleotides) under uncultured bacterium. RNAcentral describes it as "partial 16S ribosomal RNA". It matches the Rfam family "Bacterial small subunit ribosomal RNA", at positions 524 to 776 of the family's 1533-position model. The record is from RNAcentral.
UACGAAGGGGGCAAGCGUUGUUCGGAAUUACUGGGCGUAAAGGGCGCGUAGGCGGCUUACCAAGUCAGGCGUGAAAUUCCCGGGCUCAACCUGGGGGCUGCGCUCGAUACUGGUGAGCUUGAAUGCGGGAGAGGAUAGUGGAAUUCCCAGUGUAGAGGUGAAAUUCGUAGAUAUUGGGAAGAACACCGGUGGCGAAGGCGGCUAUCUGGCCCGUAAUUGACGCUGAGGCGCGAAAGCGUGGGGAGCAAACAGG